GCCAAACAGCUAGCCCAAUCACCCAAUAACUAAACAAUAUAAAUAAAACAAAAUUAGCCUAACACCAAAAAUUAAAUCAUUCUUUUACCUUAGUAUGGGCGACAGAAAAGGUUACACCUGGAGCAAUAGAAAAAGUACCGCAAGGGAAAGCUGAAAGAGAAAUGAAAUAACUUAUAUAAGCACUAAAAAGCAAAGAUUAAAUCUUGUACCUUUCGCAUCAUGAUUUAGCCAGUAUACCCAAGCAAAGAGACCUUUAGUUUGAAACCCCGAAACCAAGUGAGCUACCCCGAGACAGCCUAUUAAGGGCCAACCCGUCUCUGUGGCAAAAGAGUGGGAAGAGCUCCGGGUAGAGGUGACAAACCUACCGAACUUGGUGAUAGCUGGUUGCCUAAGAAAUGAAUAGAAGUUCAGCCUCGUUCUCCCCAAAUCAAAAAGUAAAAAGAUACUAAAGGGAAACAUACGAGAGUUAGUUGAAGGGGGUACAGCCCCUUUAACGAAGGACACAACCUUUCCAGGAGGAUAAAGAUCAUAAUACAUAAGACAUCCUGUUCUAGUGGGCCUAAAGGCAGCCAUCUAAACAGAAAGCGUUAAAGCUCAGACAGAAAUAAGUUUAUUAUUCCGACAAGAAAUCUUACUCCCCUAAUAUUAUUAGGCCAGCCCAUGCCCACAUGGGAGAGACUAUGCUAAAAUGAGUAACAAGAAGGCAAGCCCUUCUCCAAGCACAAGUGUAAGCCAAACCGGACUAACCAUUGGCAAUUAACGAACUCAACCCAAGAGAGCAAUGUGGACUAUAACAAGACCAGGAAGAACCCACAACCGACCUAUCGUUACCCCCACACUGGUGUGCUAUUAACGGAAAGACUAAAAGAAGGGGAAGGAACUCGGCAAACACAAGCCUCGCCUGUUUACCAAAAACAUCGCCUCCUGCAACACAACCAAGUAUAGGAGGUCCAGCCUGCCCAGUGACUACAAGUUCAACGGCCGCGGUAUUUUGACCGUGCAAAGGUAGCGCAAUCACUUGUCUCUUAAAUAGAGACCUGUAUGAAUGGCUAAACGAGGGCUUAACUGUCUCCCCCCUCCAGUCAGUGAAAUUGAUCUACCCGUGCAGAAGC
This 1112-nucleotide ribosomal RNA is filed under the name Ptychobarbus kaznakovi. RNAcentral describes it as "partial 16S ribosomal RNA". It matches the Rfam family "Bacterial large subunit ribosomal RNA", at positions 157 to 2062 of the family's 2925-position model. Lineage: Eukaryota; Metazoa; Chordata; Actinopteri; Cypriniformes; Cyprinidae. The record is from RNAcentral.